UCAAGCUACAAAGGGCGCAUGGUGAAUGCCUUGGCAUCAGGAGCCGAUGAAGGACGUGAUAAGCUGCGAUAAGCUUCGGGUAGGCGCACAUAGCCAGUGAUCCGGAGAUUUCCGAAUGUGGGAACACACAUGGGAAACCCCAUGUAUCGUAUAGUGAAUACAUAGCUAUACGAGGGUAAACCUAGGGAACUGAAACAUCUAAGUACCUAGAGGAAGAGAAAGAAAAAUCGAUUUCCUAAGUAGCGGCGAGCGAAAGGGAAAGAGCCCAAACCAAAGAUUUAUCUUUGGGGUUGCGGACAGAACAUUAACGAGAAGUCGUGAUUAACCGAACACAACUGGAAAGUUGGACCGUAGGAGGUAAUAGUCCUGUAGGUGAAAGUCAAGAUAAUCAAGUUCUGAUCCAGAGUACCACGAGACACGUGAAACCUUGUGGGAAGCAGGGAGGACCACCUCCCAAGGCUAAAUACUACCUGAUGACCGAUAGUGAAGCAGUACCGUGAGGGAAAGGUGAAAAGAACCCCGGGAGGGGAGUGAAAUAGAACCUGAAACCCUGCACUUACAAGCUGUGGGAGCACAUUACUUGUGUGACCGCGUACUUUUUGUAGAACGGGCCAACGAGUUACGUUAAGUAGCAAGGUUAAGCACUUAAGGUGUGGAGCCGUAGCGAAAGCGAGUCUUAAAUGGGCGAUUAAGUUACUUGGCGUAGACCCGAAACCGGGCGACCUAUCCAUGAGCAGGUUGAAGCGAAAGUAAAAUUUCGUGGAGGACCGAACCCACGAGCGUUGAAAAGCUCGGGGAUGACUUGUGGAUAGCGGUGAAAUUCCAAUCGAGCCCGGAGAUAGCUGGUUCUCCCCGAAAUAGCUUUAGGGCUAGCCUCAAGCGUAGAGAAACGGAGGUAGAGCACUGAAUGUCCUAGGGGGUAUUGCACUUACCGAAGACUAUCAAACUCCGAAUGCCGUAUUCUUUUGCUUGGGAGUCAGACUAUGGGUGAUAAGAUUCAUAGUCAAGAGGGCAACAGCCCAGAUCGUCAGCUAAGGUCCCUAAAUGUAAGUUAAGUGGUAAAGGAUGUGGAAUUGCACAGACAACCAGGAUGUUGGCUUAGAAGCAGCCACUCAUUUAAAGAGUGCGUAAUAGCUCACUGGUCGAGUGAUUGUGCGCCGAAAAUGUACCGGGGCUAAACUGUGUACCGAAGUCUAGGGAUCGUGAUAAACGAUCGGUAGGGGAGCAACGUGUGCGGGCUGAAGCCGAAGCGAAAGCGACGGUGGACUGCACGGGAGAGAGAAUGCCGGCAUGAGUAGCGAGAGCAAAGUGAGAAUCUUUGCCGUCGAAAGCCUAAGGUUUCCUGAGGAAGGCUCGUCCUCUCAGGGUAAGUCGGGACCUAAGCCGAGGACAAGAGUCGUAGGCGAUGGACAACAGGUUGAUAUUCCUGUACCGUACUUAAGCGUUUGACUGAAGCAGUGACACAGAAGGAUAGACAGAGCGCGUGACUGGUAGAGCGCGUCCAAGCGAUGAGGGAGUUAAGUAGUGAAGAACGCUUAACAAUCCUGGGUCGUGAUGGGGACUGAAAAUAAGUAGGGAAGCUGUUGAAUUCACGCUGGCGAGAAAAGCUGCUAAGGAGCGAAAGGGUGCCUGUACCGCAAACCGACACAGGUAGGCGAGGAGAGAAUCCUAAGACGAGCGGGAGAACCCAUGUUAAGGAACUCGGCAAAAUGACCCUGUAACUUCGGGAUAAAGGGAGCCACGAGAGUGGCCGCAGAGAAUAGGCCCAAGCGACUGUUUACCAAAAACACAGGUCUGUGCGAAGUAGAGAUACGACGUAUACGGGCUGACGCCUGCCCAGUGCCGGAAGGUUAAGGGGAAGUGUUAGGGCAACCGAAGCACGGAACUUAAGCCCCGGUGAACGGCGGCCGUAACUAUAACGGUCCUAAGGUAGCGAAAUUCCUUGUCGGGU
RNAcentral lists this ribosomal RNA (1951 nucleotides) under human gut metagenome. Its description in RNAcentral is "bacterial LSU rRNA". It matches the Rfam family "Bacterial large subunit ribosomal RNA", at positions 3 to 1977 of the family's 2925-position model. The record is from RNAcentral.